Calidris pugnax (ruff) is the source of this 1834-nucleotide long non-coding RNA. RefSeq lists it as uncharacterized. NCBI's taxonomy places the organism in Eukaryota, Metazoa, Chordata, Aves, Charadriiformes, Scolopacidae. The transcript has 3 exons. The record is from RefSeq and is a predicted model, not a curated record.
GCGGCGACCGCAGGGAGGGGGCUGCCUGCGGGAGGGGAACCGGGGCGCAGCCUCUCCCCCCGGCACGGGGGUCCGGGCAGUGGCUGUGGCCGAGCCACUGACCAGCUCCCCCCUUCCCUUCCCUUCCCUUCCCUUCCCUUCCCUUCCCUUCCCACACGGCGCCGCGCUCUCAGAAACACGGGGUUGCUUUCUACUAAGACCUAUUUCUGCCUUCCUUCUGAGCCCCAGAGAGGAUACUUGCACUUUUUUGAGACUAAGUGGUCAAAGGAGGGAUCCUCUCUCAAAAUGAACAGGUUGCCCAGAGAAGCUGUGGCUGCCCCAUCCCUGGAGGGGUUCAAGGCCAGGUUGGAGGGGGCUUGGAGCAACCUGGUCUGGUGGGAGGUGUCCCUGCCCAGGGCAGGGGGGUUGGAACUCAAUGAUCUCCAAGGUCCCUUCUAACUCUAACCGUGCUAUGAUUCUAAAAUUGCUGCUGUGGGGCUCCUGGUUGGUGUCUGUAGGUCCUCGGUCAAAUGUCGUCCAAGCCCAAAGGUGUCACUUUUCUCAGUUGCUCCUGCUGGAAGCUCACCUGGGUCCCUGCAGUCUCAUUGCACGUUGUCAUUCCUGUGGGGUUAUUUCCUUCCCCACCCCUGCCCGAGCUCACGCAGCCCCGAUGUCUGCAGGUGUCAGCAACCUGCACCUCGCUCUGCUCAGAACAACACGGAAUUGAUUCUGCUCUCAGAGAAGUCAUCUCUCUCCCCUCUUUCCCUCAGAAAACCUGGCAGGAGCUAGGAGUCUGCUGACGGCUGAAAAUGGAGGAGCAGAGUUCAUCUUAAAUUAGAAGCAACUGCUGCUACCAGCAGCCUCUGAGAGACCGUAGACUUUCAGCUUCCCUUGUUUUAUCCAGAGCAGAGUCUUUGCUGACCACAGUGCCUGGGAAUGAACGACUGGAGGGAGAUGCUGGAGGAGCAGCCACUCCUCCCUUUCUGAUGAGGUCCAACAGACGAGAUGCUGCUGGCAACGGAGUGGUCGGUCAAGGCUAUCUAAUAAUUUCAGUAACGCUUUUUGCAGUGUCCCACGAGCCUGGAGAUCAUGGUGUUUCUGUAGGUAUUUAUCUAAGCCUUCCCAGGCUUGUUUCCCAGAGCAGCAGGUUCUUCUUCCUGUCUCUUUCCCUUUGCAGGGCUGUUCUCUCUCUCCUUGUUGGGCAAAACACUGGUGACGGAGCAGAGCCAGAGGCUUUCCCGGGGACACUUUGUGCCAUCGUGCCUUGUGGAACGACUUGUUUGAUCCUCUCCAGUUCUCCAUCGCAGUGGGAGCAGAAGCAGCCCAUGGAGAAACAUUUCUCUUUCGCUUUGCCUCGACUCAUCCAAGACCGUGGUCCUGCUGGUGUGUGAACCGGGAGAGACCUUUCUCUUGGUGCUUCCAUUCCGUAAUAAAUCAUGUUUCCUGCAGGAAAACCAGGGGCACGCCAAGGCGCAGCGAUGGGGGUGCUCUUUUCUGUUGCGGUUUCUCCUUUUCCCCUGGGUCCCGUGUUGGAGAAGCAGUCCUGGCGCGACCAGGGAGCUGCCCUCCCCUUGCAGCUUUUCUCUUGGUUUGUGUUCGAGGGGAAAAAGAUGGUUUGGAGGGAAGAGGAGGUGGGAGGAAUGGAGGAAGGUCACCGGGUAAAGCAUAUGGGGAUUCCUGGUCCUCUCCUACAGCUGCAGGAAUUGCAGCUGCGUGUGUGGACAUUGCUCCAAGAGGCUGAAUCUCCUUCAAUUUAACCCACCUGUGCCACUGAGCUGGGUUGGAGCUUCAUGAAGAGCUGAUCAGAGCAGCAGCUCGAUCCCUAUCCAUUUUACUGUGCUGAUAUUAAAAAAUA